GGUGUGAGACAGUUCAAGUCAUGGAGGAGAUGCUAGUUGGAGCUAAAGGGCGCAGGCUGCGUGUUGUCCUCCAUCUUGAGUUCACACGGACGGCAUCCUCGAUGGUUCCAAUUUCCAGCCCAUUCCCCAAUUUUCAACCCCAGUGACAGACAACACACGCUGGAAUGUCUGUUUAGCUAAAGAAGGGAAUUGCUGGGACCUGGAGAGUUGGAGGCAGCAGAGACGGAGCUCCCCUGCCACCCUGAUGUGCUGGGAAAACAGUGCGAGGACCAUGCUGAGAGACAGAAAGGGAGAGGAAGAAACGGAAAGGAAGGAAGAGGAGAGAGAUUCACAGAAUAGGGAUAUGGA
This is a long non-coding RNA of Paralichthys olivaceus (Japanese flounder), 348 nucleotides long. RefSeq lists it as uncharacterized. Lineage: Eukaryota; Metazoa; Chordata; Actinopteri; Pleuronectiformes; Paralichthyidae. The record is from RefSeq and is a predicted model, not a curated record.